Molecule: ribosomal RNA, 144 nt
Filed under: Mycoplasma iguanae
Lineage: Bacteria; Bacillati; Mycoplasmatota; Mollicutes; Mycoplasmatales; Mycoplasmataceae
Description: partial 16S ribosomal RNA
Rfam family: Bacterial small subunit ribosomal RNA
Source: RNAcentral
CCGCCCGUCACACCAUGGGAGUUGGUAAUGCCCGAAGUCGGUUAGUUAACUUUAUUGAAACGGCUGCCUAAGGCAGGACUGAUGACUGGGGUGAAGUCGUAACAAGGUAUCCCUACGAGAACGUGGGGAUGGAUCACCUCCUUU